AGAGUUUGAUCCUGGCUCAGAUUGAACGCUGGCGGCAUGCUUUACACAUGCAAGUCGAACGGCAGCGGGGGCUUCGGCCUGCCGGCGAGUGGCGAACGGGUGAGUAAUGCAUCGGAACGUGCCCAGUCAUGGGGGAUAACUACGCGAAAGCGUAGCUAAUACCGCAUACGCCCUGAGGGGGAAAGCGGGGGAUCGCAAGACCUCGCGUGAUUGGAGCGGCCAAUGUCGGAUUAGCUAGUUGGUGGGGUAAAGGCCUACCAAGGCGACGAUCCGUAGCGGGUCUGAGAGGAUGAUCCGCCACACUGGGACUGAGACACGGCCCAGACUCCUACGGGAGGCAGCAGUGGGGAAUUUUGGACAAUGGGGGCAACCCUGAUCCAGCCAUGCCGCGUGAGUGAAGAAGGCCUUCGGGUUGUAAAGCUCUUUCAGACGGAAAGAAAUCGGGUGGGUCAA
Molecule: ribosomal RNA, 453 nt
Filed under: uncultured bacterium
Lineage: Bacteria
Description: bacterial SSU rRNA
Rfam family: Bacterial small subunit ribosomal RNA
Source: RNAcentral